GACGAACGCUGGCGGUGUGCCUAACACAUGCAAGUCGAACGGAGCCAGCCCCUUCGGGGACUGACUUAGUGGCGAACGGGUGAGUAACGCGUGAGAAACCUGCCUUUCAGUGGGGGACAACAGUUGGAAACGACUGCUAAUACCGCAUAAUGUCAUUUGGGGGCAUCCUCGAAUGACCAAAGAUUUAUUGCUGAAAGAUGGUCUCGCGUCUGAUUAGCUAGAUGGCGGGGUAACGGCCCACCAUGGCGACGAUCAGUAGCCGGUCUGAGAGGAUGAUCGGCCACAUUGGAACUGAGACACGGUCCAAACUCCUACGGGAGGCAGCAGUGGGAAUAUUGCACAAUGGGCGAAAGCCUGAUGCAGCAACGCCGCGUGAAGGAAGAAGGUCUUCGGAUCGUAAACUUCUGUCCUUAGGGAAGAUAAUGACGGUACCUUUGGAGGAAGCCCCGGCUAACUACGUG
RNAcentral lists this ribosomal RNA (461 nucleotides) under uncultured bacterium. Its description in RNAcentral is "bacterial SSU rRNA". It matches the Rfam family "Bacterial small subunit ribosomal RNA", at positions 28 to 507 of the family's 1533-position model. The record is from RNAcentral.